RNAcentral lists this long non-coding RNA (2033 nucleotides) under Elaeis guineensis (African oil palm). RNAcentral's name for it is "long non-coding RNA (EGUI_LNC000830)". The record is from RNAcentral. Lineage: Eukaryota; Viridiplantae; Streptophyta; Magnoliopsida; Arecales; Arecaceae.
GGAACCUCCAGAUAAGUCCACACAAGUCGAACCAAGUCUAGACAAGACUUCUUAAGCCUAAAUCCUUCCGAAUACCCUCAAAUUCUUGGAAGCUCUCUAAAGUUCUACCGAGUCUCUAGAAAAAUCUUUGAGUCACCGAGUCUCCACUCAUGAGCUCAGAGUACCCUACCAGUGGUGAUCCACCCAAAGAGUCUCUCAUAGUUCUAGACUGAGUGACAUCCCCUUGAGACUAUAUCUCUCCCAAACAUAGACCGUUCCUCUCUCCCACAAACUCAAGACUUCCACUCACAUGCACCGCUGAUUUGAUCUCAUCUCCUUCUACUUCUUUUAGAACUUCCUUUGUUCCAUCGAGGUAGACUAACGCGUCAGAGGGUCCUCACCAGAAAACCCUCGGCAAGCGGACUUCCUUUGCUUUUGGUGUUUCAGCAUACUCAAAGAGGUUGAAACAUAGUUUUGAACCUCUUCGAUAGCUUUCCGACUUUCAGCCAGCUCCUAGAGUCCCUAGGUUGCCACUUACCCCCUCUUAUCCUUAGCUUAAGCUCAUCGGCCUGAGCUAAAUCGAUCCUCGGUGGCAACAAAACCCAUACCCUUAGCCUAAGUGGCAGGGAGUAAUAUUAUUCGAGUGCUUGGUGGGAUAGGGUUUUUCCUUGAAAGAACACCAUCACAUAAGUUUAGGUUGAAGUUCUUGACCUUGAGAGGGCUUGUGUUUCACUUUGUGUAGGUUUCCUCCAUGCCCCACGCAGAACAACAAAAGACAACCUCCACUCGGUGAUAGUUGGACUAUAAUAGCAGAAUGACCUCCACAAUUGUGAGAUCUGUAUCUUAUCAUAUCCCAACAAGCUCAAGAACGUGCGAAACAGUUAUCCCCAACCUCCCUCGCAUGUUCUUAAUGCCUUGGGAUCCAACCCUCAUCUACAUAAACUCUUUCCUAGGGAACCUCUAGAUAAGUCCACACAAGUCGAAUCAAGUCUAGACAAGACUUCCUAAGCCUAAAUCCUUCCGAAUACCCUCAAAUUCUUGGAAGCUCUCUAAAGUUCUAUCGAGUCUCUAGAAAAAUCUUUGAGUCACCGAGUCUCCACUCAUGAGCUCAGAGUACCCUACCAGUGGUGAUCCACCCAAAGGGUCUCUCAUAGUUCUAGACUGAGUGACAUCCCCUUGAGACUAUAUCUCUCCUAAACAUAGACCGUUCCUCUCUCCCACAGACUCAAGACUUCCACUCACAUGCACCGUUGAUUUGAUCUCAUCUCCUUCUACUUCUUUUAGAACUUCCUUUGUUCCAUCGAGGUAGACUAAUGCAUCAGAGGGUCCUCACUAGAAAACCCUCGGCAAGCGGACUUCCUUUGCUUUUGGUGUUUCAGCAUGCUCAAAAAAGUUGAAACAUAGUUUUGGACCUCUCCGACAGCUUUCCGACUUUCAACCAGCUCCUAGAGUCCCUAGGUUGCCAAUUACCGCCUCUUAUCCUUAGCUUCAGCUCAUCGGCCUGAGCUAAAUCGACCCUCGGUGGCAACAAAACCCAUACCCCUAGCCUAAGUAGCAGGGAGUAAUAUUAUUCGAGUGCUUGGUGGGAUAGGGUUUCCCCUUGAAAGAACACCAUCACAUAAGUUUAGGUUGAAGUUCUUGACCUUGAGAGGGCUUGUGUUUCACUUUGUGUAGGUUUCCUCCAUGCCCCACACAAAACAACAAAAGACAACCUACAAAUCAACAAUAUUAGCUAUUUUAUUCAAAAGCAAAUUAAAGCAAAAUUCUGCCAAAAUAACCCCACUCCAACAACCAAGACUAGGAAUUUGAAAAUAAUACAUUAAACAAAAUAGAGAUAAGCAAAAUAGUGCAAAGCCCAAGGGUAAUGAAAGGAAACCAGAAAAAUCCUAUCUUGAUCUUAGCCAAGCUUAUCCCUUUAAAUAUAUAUAAGAAAGUCAUCCAAUAUGGACUGACUCCAAGAUAGAGCUUUGCAGGAAGCAAUAACCCCCAAUAUCACUCCAAAUGUCCCCAUCCCACAGUUUUCCCAAAUGCAGUUUUACAAGCAUGACCAUAAU